Molecule: ribosomal RNA, 650 nt
Filed under: Elizabethkingia meningoseptica
Lineage: Bacteria; Pseudomonadati; Bacteroidota; Flavobacteriia; Flavobacteriales; Weeksellaceae
Description: bacterial SSU rRNA
Rfam family: Bacterial small subunit ribosomal RNA
Source: RNAcentral
GCGGUAGAGAUUCUUCGGAAUCUUGAGAGCGGCGUACGGGUGCGGAACACGUGUGCAACCUGCCUUUAUCAGGGGGAUAGCCUUUCGAAAGGAAGAUUAAUACCCCAUAAUAUAUUAACUGGCAUCAGUUGAUAUUGAAAACUACGGUGGAUAGAGAUGGGCACGCGCAAGAUUAGCUAGUUGGUGAGGUAACGGCUCACCAAGGCGACGAUCUUUAGGGGGCCUGAGAGGGUGAUCCCCCACACUGGUACUGAGACACGGACCAGACUCCUACGGGAGGCAGCAGUGAGGAAUAUUGGACAAUGGGUGGAAGCCUGAUCCAGCCAUCCCGCGUGCAGGAAGACGGCCCUAUGGGUUGUAAACUGCUUUUAUCUGGGGAUAAACCUACUUACGUGUAAGUAGCUGAAGGUACCAGAAGAAUAAGCACCGGCUAACUCCGUGCCAGCAGCCGCGGUAAUACGGAGGGUGCAAGCGUUAUCCGGAUUUAUUGGGUUUAAAGGGUCCGUAGGCGGACUAGUAAGUCAGUGGUGAAAUCCGACAGCUUAACUGUCGAACUGCCAUUGAUACUGCUAGUCUUGAGUAAGGUUGAAGUGGCUGGAAUAAGUAGUGUAGCGGUGAAAUGCAUAGAUAUUACUUAGAACACCAAUUGC